UUUCGGUCAUCGUCUGCCGCUGAGGUCCGAUGUCGUGGGUAGCAAACAGGAUUAGAUACCCUGGUAGUCCACGCUGCAACCGAUGAGUGUUAGGUUCUUGGAAUAAUCUGGGAGCCCCAGCUAACGCAUUAAACACUCCGCCUGGGGAGUACGCACGCAAGUGUGAAACUCAAAGGAAUUGACGGGGACCCGCACAAGCAGCGGAGCAUGUGGUUUAAUUCGACGCAACGCGAAGAACCUUACCAAGUCUUGACAUAAUACGGAGGGAGUUAGAGAUAAUUCCUUAUCACUUCGGGGAGCUGUAUUACAGGUGGUGCAUGGUUGUCGUCAGCUCGUGUCGUGAGAUGUUGGGUUAAGUCCCAUAACGAGCGCAACCCCUUUCGUAUGUACCAUCA
RNAcentral lists this ribosomal RNA (395 nucleotides) under uncultured bacterium. Its description in RNAcentral is "bacterial SSU rRNA". It matches the Rfam family "Bacterial small subunit ribosomal RNA", at positions 727 to 1123 of the family's 1533-position model. The record is from RNAcentral.